UAAAAAGAUAAGCUAAAAUAAGCUAACGGGCUCAUACCCCGUAAAUGAAAGUUUCAACCUCUCUCUUUUUAA
This 72-nucleotide transfer RNA is filed under the name Asthenognathus inaequipes. Its description in RNAcentral is "tRNA-Met". It matches the Rfam family "tRNA". From Rfam's summary of the family: Transfer RNA (tRNA) molecules are approximately 80 nucleotides in length. Their secondary structure includes four short double-helical elements and three loops (D, anti-codon, and T loops). The record is from RNAcentral. Lineage: Eukaryota; Metazoa; Arthropoda; Malacostraca; Decapoda; Varunidae.